CCCAGACAGCCAGGAUGUUGGCUUAGAAGCAGCCAUCAUUUAAAGAAAGCGUAAUAGCUCACUGGUCGAGUCGGCCUGCGCGGAAGAUGUAACGGGGCUAAACCAUGCACCGAAGCUGCGGCAGCGACACUCAUGUGUUGUUGGGUAGGGGAGCGUUCUGUAAGCCUGUGAAGGUGGCCUGUGAGGGUUGCUGGAGGUAUCAGAAGUGCGAAUGCUGACAUAAGUAACGAUAAAGCGGGUGAAAAGCCCGCUCGCCGGAAGACCAAGGGUUCCUGUCCAACGUUAAUCGGGGCAACCACUUUGUGAUUCAUGACUGGGGUGAAGUCGUAACAAGGUAACCGUAGGGGAACCUGCGGUUGGAUCACCUCCUUACCUUAAAGAAGCGUACUUUGCAGUGCUCACACAGAUUGUCUGAUGAAAAGUAAAUAGCAAGGCGUCUUGCGAUUGAGACUUCAGUGUCCCCUUCGUCUAGAGGCCCAGGACACCGCCCUUUCACGGCGGUAACAGGGGUUCGAAUCCCCUAGGGGACGCCACUUGCGCGGUAAUGUGUGAAAGGCGUUGCCAUCAGUAUCUCAAAACUGA
Molecule: ribosomal RNA, 582 nt
Filed under: Salmonella enterica subsp. enterica serovar Saintpaul
Lineage: Bacteria; Pseudomonadati; Pseudomonadota; Gammaproteobacteria; Enterobacterales; Enterobacteriaceae
Description: partial 23S ribosomal RNA
Rfam family: Bacterial large subunit ribosomal RNA
Source: RNAcentral